AUGGCAGGGGCUGGGGAGGACCGGGGGUGCUCCCUGGGAACAGAGGAGCAGGGGGGGCUGGAAAGGGGGCGGAGACCUCACAAAAGAGGCCAAAGGCCUGAGUCACCAGCCCCAGCUUCUGUCUGCUACACCCGUCCCCGUGGCAUGCGUGGCGCCGGCUUUGGUGGGAAGCAUUUCUUCCCCUCUGUCCCUGGGGAUGCUACCUGCUGCAGAGGGUCCGUGGGAGACAGAGGCUCUGGUCCUGAACGCCCACCCUUCUUCCUCGGGCUCCGACCAGCUGGAGUCUGGCCUCUUCGGGGAGACCCACCUUUGCCCAGCGCCUGCGUCACUCAUUCCCGGCCUCCGCCCUCUGUGCAAAUGUACCCGAUGGGGCUCCUUCUGCCUCAUAUCUUCAUUCCAUUUCUCUCCAUUUGUCCUGGUCUCUCAACUCCACCCCCUCCACGCCACAAUGUCAAUAAUGUCCAUUCUGUCCUUCAAAGGGAUGAGGUGUAGCAAGGCAGCCUCAACCCCUCCCGGAGACAUUCCUCCUUCCACUUUCUGAAACGCAGGCUGCCCGCAUGGUCGCCUUCCCCCCUCUCCUCCGCCAGCUCCUGCCAGGCCCUUCCGGGCUCCCCCAGCCUCCGGAGCUCAGGAAAUGGUGCCGGGCAGUGGCCAGGGCUGGCUCUCGCACAAUGGCUGUAUUUAGCCCCCAAAUGAGAUCCCAUCAUGUCACUACCCGCUGCCGCGGAGCAGAGAUCGGAGACUCUGAAACAGGUCUGGGGUCAGACGCUCCAGAGGAGGGCCCGGGAGGAAAGCAGGAAGGGGCUCUAAGAAGUCGUGUUAUCUUCUUGUCUCUGGAUUGAAUGGUUUCCCCACCAGCGCGCACCAUCAGCGUCUCCUGCCCCUGCUCGGAGAGGGGUCCGUCCACUGACCACACGAGUCACCGGUACUCUGUGGGGCACACCGGGGUGCAGGGACAGGAGCUCACAGGGAGAGAGAGAUCUCCGUUAUUCAAAAGUCUGAGACCGGGACGUCUGGAGAGCUCGCUGGCAGGUGCGCAGUAACACAGCACAACAGGGACUUGUGGCCAUGGACGCCCUCGGAUGGAGAGGACGGGCCAUAGCCAGCGUCCGGGGCGAGAAGGGCCAGCGGAGCCUGGGGGAGAAGCGGGGGCAGAGUGCUCUGGUCUCAGGGGCAGCGGCUAGUGGACUCUGUGGGCCAGAUCUGUUCUGCUAUCUUUCUUAAAUGGCUGGGGGGAAAAAUCCAAAGAAGAACACUACUUUGUGACACAUAAAAGUUCUAUGAAAUUCAGAUUUCAGUGAGCAUAAAUAAAGGCUAUUUUGAACACGGCCCGCUCGUUCACUUACAUAUGGUCUGCGUCUGGGUCGGCCUUACGGCAGCAAAGUUGUAGCUGCGGCACAGACCGUCUGGCCCACAAGGCCUAAAAUAGUAUCUGGAUCUUUACAGAAAAAGUUUGCAGACUCCUGAUCUAGA
RNAcentral lists this long non-coding RNA (1473 nucleotides) under Mustela putorius furo (domestic ferret). RNAcentral's name for it is "lncRNA (ENSMPUG00000026207.1)". Lineage: Eukaryota; Metazoa; Chordata; Mammalia; Carnivora; Mustelidae. The record is from RNAcentral.